Molecule: long non-coding RNA, 167 nt
Organism: Musca vetustissima
Lineage: Eukaryota; Metazoa; Arthropoda; Insecta; Diptera; Muscidae
Exons: 2
Source: RefSeq, a predicted model, not a curated record
CUGCUCUCAUAAAGAUAAAAUGUUUAUAUAUAAAAUACAUAUAUACAUAAAACGUCGUCCAAAACGAAAAGAAAAGUGAAGAGAUUUAACAUAGCACAAAUUUCAUUGCACAAAUCUAAUCGUCUGUACCUAAAGCUAUUGAAAGACACAAAUACAAAGAAUAGACA